This 427-nucleotide ribosomal RNA is filed under the name uncultured bacterium. RNAcentral describes it as "bacterial SSU rRNA". It matches the Rfam family "Bacterial small subunit ribosomal RNA", at positions 354 to 796 of the family's 1533-position model. The record is from RNAcentral.
GUGGGGAAUAUUGCACAAUGGGGGAAACCCUGAUGCAGCAACGCCGCGUGAGCGAAGAAGGCCUUUGGGUCGUAAAGCUCUGUCCUCAGGGAAGAAGGAAGUGACGGUACCUGAGGAGGAAGCCCCGGCUAACUACGUGCCAGCAGCCGCGGUAAUACGUAGGGGGCAAGCGUUAUCCGGAAUUAUUGGGCGUAAAGGGUACGUAGGCGGUUUGAUCAGCGUGAGGUGAAAGGCACUGGCUUAACCAAUGUAAGCCUUGCGAACUGUCAGACUUGAGUGCAGGAGAGGAAAGCGGAAUUCCUAGUGUAGCGGUGAAAUGCGUAGAUAUUAGGAGGAACACCAGUGGCGAAGGCGGCUUUCUGGACUGUAACUGACGCUGAGGUACGAAAGCGUGGGGAGCAAACAGGAUUAGAAACCCCAGUAGUCC